UUUCCCUCAUCUCUUUCUUGCUUCCUACCUUCCGAGGCGUGCGCUGCAGUGAGAUUCGCGGAGCUGGUUGUGGACGAUGUUUUCACGGCGCCGUGCAACACGUCGGUCCUCUACCCGACGGCAGGAGGCAACAUGCACCGUUUCACAGCCAUCGCGCCGUGCGCCAUCCUUGACAUCCUUGGUCCCCCUUACUCCAUCGAAGAGGACCGAGAUUGCACCUACUACACGGAUGUUCCCUACUCCUCCCAGCAUCCUAGAAAGUUGAAAGUUGUUGCCAAUCUUGAUCUUAGAAGUCUAAGCUAG
RNAcentral lists this ribosomal RNA (303 nucleotides) under Triticum aestivum (bread wheat). Its description in RNAcentral is "partial small subunit ribosomal RNA". Lineage: Eukaryota; Viridiplantae; Streptophyta; Magnoliopsida; Poales; Poaceae. The record is from RNAcentral.